CGGUCGCCCUCCCCUGGGGACCCGGUUUUCUGCUAGAAGCGGGCUCGGGAGCUCAGAGUCCCAAGUGUGCGCUUUGGUCUUUGAUGCUAUCGACAAAGUGUGGUUUCAGAUGUUGCCCCGGCUGAGGCCGGUUUCCUGUCUGUGUGUGGAGUGGAUGGAAGGACCGCGCCGGUUGCUGCAAGUGUCUUCUCCUUCGCUGAUCCUGGACCUCUUCUACUUCUGGGGGAAACUAAAUCUGGUCACCAAUAAAGCACCCAUCCGAUCAAGCAAUUAAAUACCAAUUAUGACUACUAAUGACUGUAUACUAAUGACUGGAGUUGAGGACUCCAAACCCAGCUCCAGGUAAUCAAGCCGUUUCAAAAUUCUGCUACCUCAGAUCUUUACAGCACGCCACCCCAGUAAAGGAGACAACCAGGUGCUUGCUCAACAAGACCAGCGCUCGCCCACCCGCCCGGGGACCAGCCUGCGGCGGCCUGCAGGAGCACGAGGCCGAGGUGGAGAAUCCGUGCAGCGGGCCCCGCGCCAUGUACAGCCCCGGCACGUCCACAGAGCCCCAGGAACCAUCAAGGGACUCCCGUCUCAGCAGCUGGGGACACGCCUGUAAGUGUGCAGUGUUCCAGUCAACUAAAUGGACUUGCCUUCAGCCAG
Molecule: long non-coding RNA, 648 nt
Organism: Bos taurus (domestic cattle)
Lineage: Eukaryota; Metazoa; Chordata; Mammalia; Artiodactyla; Bovidae
Source: Ensembl